CUUCCAGUAGCACCUUAGAGACCAACUAAGUUAGCUAUUGGUAUGAGCUUUCGUAUCUGAAGAAGUGUGCAUGCACAUGAAAGCUCAUACCAAUAACUAACUUAGUUGGUCUCUAAGGUGCUACUGGAAG
Molecule: microRNA precursor, 130 nt
Filed under: Podarcis lilfordi (Lilford's wall lizard)
Lineage: Eukaryota; Metazoa; Chordata; Lepidosauria; Squamata; Lacertidae
Source: RNAcentral